Molecule: ribosomal RNA, 430 nt
Filed under: uncultured fungus
Lineage: Eukaryota; Fungi
Description: eukaryotic LSU rRNA
Rfam family: Eukaryotic large subunit ribosomal RNA
Source: RNAcentral
GACCUCGGAUCAGGUAGGGAUACCCGCUGAACUUAAGCAUAUCAAUAAGCGGAGGAAAAGAAACCAACAGGGAUUGCCUUAGUAACGGCGAGUGAAGCGGCAACAGCUCAAAUUUGAAAUCUGGCCUCAUGGUCCGAAUUGUAAUUUGUAGAGGAUGCUUCGAGCAUGGUCUGGUCUAAGUUCCUUGGAACAGGACGUCAUAGAGGGUGAGAAUCCCGCAUGCGACUAGGUGCCUAAGCUCAUGUGAAGCUCCUUCGACGAGUCGAGUUGUUUGGGAAUGCAGCUCAAAAUGGGUGGUAAAUUUCAUCUAAAGCUAAAUACUGGCCAGAGACCGAUAGCGCACAAGUAGAGUGAUCGAAAGAUGAAAAGCACUUUGGAAAGAGAGUUAAACAGUACGUGAAAUUGUUGAAAGGGAAGCGCUUGCAACCAG